This 497-nucleotide ribosomal RNA is filed under the name uncultured bacterium. RNAcentral describes it as "partial 16S ribosomal RNA". It matches the Rfam family "Bacterial small subunit ribosomal RNA", at positions 28 to 507 of the family's 1533-position model. The record is from RNAcentral.
GAUGAACGCUGGCGGCGUGCCUAAUACAUGCAAGUCGAGCGAACAGACGAGGAGCUUGCUCCUCUGACGUUAGCGGCGGACGGGUGAGUAACACGUGGAUAACCUACCUAUAAGACUGGGAUAACUUCGGGAAACCGGAGCUAAUACCGGAUAAUAUAUUGAACCGCAUUGUUCAAUAGUGAAAGACGGUUUUGCUGUCACUUAUAGAUGGAUCCGCGCCGCAUUAGCUAGUUGGUAAGGUAACGGCUUAGCAAGGCAACGAUGCGUAGCCGACCUGAGAGGGUGAUCGGCCACACUGGAACUGAGACACGGUCCAUACUCCUACGGGAGGCAGCAGUAGGGAAUCUUCCGCAAUGGGCGAAAGCUUGACGGAGCAACGCCGCGUGAGUGAUGAAGGUCUUCGGAUCGUAAAACUCUGUUAUUAGGGAAGAACAAAUGUGUAAGUAACUAUGCACGUCUUGACGGUACCUAAUCAGAAAGCCACGGCUAACUACGUG